GAUCAUGGCUCAGGAUGAACGCUAGCUACAGGCUUAACACAUGCAAGUCGAGGGGCAGCAUGGCCUUAGCUUGCUAAGGCUGAUGGCGACCGGCGCACGGGUGAGUAACACGUAUCCAACCUGCCGUCUACUCUUGGCCAGCCUUCUGAAAGGAAGAUUAAUCCAGGAUGGGACCAUGAGUUCACAUGUCCGCAUGAUUAAAGGUAUUUUCCGGUAGACGAUGGGGA
This 227-nucleotide ribosomal RNA is filed under the name uncultured bacterium. RNAcentral describes it as "partial 16S ribosomal RNA". It matches the Rfam family "Bacterial small subunit ribosomal RNA", at positions 15 to 231 of the family's 1533-position model. The record is from RNAcentral.